GUCAGCUCGUGUCGUGAGAUGUUGGGUUAAGUCCCGCAACGAGCGCAACCCCUAUUGUUAGUUGCUACGCAAAGAGCACUCUAGCGAGACUGCGUUGACAAAACGGAGGAAGGUGGGGACGACGUCAAAUCAUCAUGCCCCUUAUGUCCUGGGCUACACACGUAAUACAAUGGCAUUUAACAGAGGGAAGCAAAACCGCGAGGUGGAGCAAAUCCCUAAAAGGUGUCUCAGUUCGGAUUGCAGGCUGCAACUCGCCUGCA
This 260-nucleotide ribosomal RNA is filed under the name uncultured bacterium. RNAcentral's name for it is "partial 16S ribosomal RNA". It matches the Rfam family "Bacterial small subunit ribosomal RNA", at positions 1054 to 1320 of the family's 1533-position model. The record is from RNAcentral.